AUAGACCCUUUUUCAUAAAAAAUUAGAGAUGAAACUACCCAUGUUUUUAAUAAUUGUACUCCCAAUAUUACUAAGGUAAGGACAAGGGAAGAUUUAAAAAUCUUAUCACUUCCAUUAAUGAAAAAGCUCAAAAAAUGAAUCCCAUAGAAUGCCUAAGACAUAUGCGACUAUAACUUCAAUCAUUAAGCCUACUACUAUACCUAUAGAACCUACUAUUUCUUCUACUA
RNAcentral lists this long non-coding RNA (227 nucleotides) under Capsicum annuum. RNAcentral describes it as "long non-coding RNA (CANN_LNC019552)". Lineage: Eukaryota; Viridiplantae; Streptophyta; Magnoliopsida; Solanales; Solanaceae. The record is from RNAcentral.